GCCUGAUCAGCAUGCCGCGUGAGUGAUGAAGGCCUUCGGGUUGUAAAGCUCUUUUGUCAGGGAAGAUAAUGACUGUACUCAUACGAAUAAGCCUCGGCCUGACUCUCUUGCCAACAGCCGCGGUAAUACUAAGGGCGCUAGCCUUGUUCAGAAUUACUGGGCGUAAAGUGCACGUAAGUUGAUGGGCUAAUCCGGUGUGAAAUCCCCUGGCUCAACCUCAGAACUGCCCCUCAGACUCACCCUCUAAACUGCUUUAGAGGUUGCUGGAAUUCCUAGUGUAGAAGUGAAAUUCAUUUAUAUUCGGAAGAACACCAUUGGCGAAUGCGGGUAGCUGCACCGAUACUGACGCUGAUACCCGGAACCUUGGCGAGCACACAGGAUUAAAUACCCUGGUAGUCCACGCCAUAAACUACCAGGGCAAUCCGUCCGCUAACCUUAGCUCUCUGGUUGUCAGCUAACUAUUUACUCUUCCGCCUGGGGAAUACCGGCAGCUAAUUCACACUCGAAGCAAUUCACAAGAUUUAAA
This 526-nucleotide ribosomal RNA is filed under the name uncultured Alphaproteobacteria bacterium. RNAcentral describes it as "bacterial SSU rRNA". It matches the Rfam family "Bacterial small subunit ribosomal RNA", at positions 381 to 924 of the family's 1533-position model. Lineage: Bacteria; Pseudomonadati; Pseudomonadota; Alphaproteobacteria. The record is from RNAcentral.